CGUCGGCCCUCCAAAGGCCGGCACCGAAGAGGCUUGUUUCUCUUUGCCCGGCGUGCGGUGGGGAUCCCCCUUCCAAUCCAAGGCAGCUUCCGGGUGCAGUCCGCGCCCACAACGCCUUCGCGUGUCUCCAAAGCACGCGGUGC
This is a non-coding RNA of Methylobacterium sp. Leaf99, 143 nucleotides long. NCBI's taxonomy places the organism in Bacteria, Pseudomonadati, Pseudomonadota, Alphaproteobacteria, Hyphomicrobiales, Methylobacteriaceae. The record is from Rfam.